UUCACUUCACUUCACACGUGUAGACAAAGGGAGCCAUCAACAGCCAGCAGCACCAACAUUUCCCCCAACUCUCCAACUUCAGCCAGGAGCCAGGAGCUCCUCGGACCCCGCAGAUCUAUGGACAGAAGAAGAAAACCUCAUGAUGUUCAGGAUACCUCGGUCAACUUUGGGAUUUUGGAUAGUAAAGACUUCUUGUUUGGCAACAUUGUCGGGAUUACCUUUCCUCAUUGGGAUACUGUUUUCCAUGGGAUUACUGUACCUUUUAUACAGAACCUAAAGAUUUAUACAGAGAUAAAUCUAUGGUAAUGAAGGUGAUUAACUCCAGGCCGGGUGUCUCAAGCUGUAGGCAGCCUCAGCGAACACGCAGAUUUAUGGAGACGACGACAGUUUGCUGCUAUGGAAAUGUGACGCACGGAGAAUGCAGAGCAAGGGUGGAGUAGUUAAUCCCUCGUCCAACCCUUCUCCUUUCUCAACUUAAGCUUGGGACCGGCUAUGGAUGGGUGAGCAAAGGCUGGGCCCUGAAUCUGCGAGAGAUAAAGGAAGUGGGCAGCUGUGAAUGGAAACUGCUUUUUUGGGCAAGAAGUGCUGGACCUGCAUUCAUCACCAGUGAGCAGGUCUCGGUGUAAGCAAAAGUUCAUUGUGGUAGGACCGCUGGUAUCCUCAGAAGGAGAAGGAGAAGUCCAGCAUCAGCAAAGAGGAGCAGGAGGAGCCUCCCUCCACAAGCAGAGGAUCCAAGGCUUGGCCUCAGCCCAACCCCUUCGACUCUAUUACAGCUCUUGUUGCUACAGGGUGCUGAGCCGUGGUGAACUUUGACACCUGACUUAUUUUCAAAGGCGGCCUCUAACCCCGCCUACCCCUCACCCCCCACCCUGCACUGUAGGUCUUCCAUCUACUGUGAGUUUAAGAGAGAGGAGUGAGGUGCAGGUGAAUGGUUUUCUUUAUUUAUUUAUUGCUCUGUGUUUUUUUUUCCAAAAGAAAUAUCAACCAGAAAAAAAGAAAAGAAAAAAGGUCCAGCUAAAAAAGGAAGGAAGUCAAAAAUAUUCAGUUUGAGGUGAAAACUGAAAAUAAUACAUCACGCUUAGCUCUUAUUUUGUUGUUUAUUUUCUUUUCUCAAUAAGGGCUUAUUAUCAGCUACACAUCCUUUUUUUUGAGUUGUCUUCUCACAGUGGAAGGAUGGCAAGAAACAAUUGUGGAUUUUUUAAGAUCUGAAGCAAGAGUGAAGCUCGAUUAUCUGAUGGUGAUAGUUUUGGUGGGCUUGCGUGGUUGUUAGGGGUCCCAGUUUUCAAUUCCUCUUCCUUAUGCAAGUGAAUUAUUUUAUAUGCAAUCUCCUCAGAAAUAUCUCUCAAAAAUAAAUAACUGGUAUUUAAUGGCUGUUUUGAUUGGAAAUUAAAUAAAUGAAGGGGGAUCUCUCAGUUGGUUUUAGUACAGUGUUCAUUUCUCACACAUCUGCAGAUCUGCAAGCAAUAAAUUCACAGUGUAGCUGAAGUUUCUGGUUCUACUGAUCCAACAGUUAGCAAACACUCGAAUUACUAUAAGCUUUUUUUUAAAUCCUCAAAUCCUUAAACACCCUCCAAAAAUCAUUUACAAAACAAUACCACCUGCUAAAAGGCUAUCUAUUGAGCUGUGUACAUCUCCAUUCUUUUUCUGCCCUGAAUCAAUUGUUUUCGUUCUCUCCAUUUUUUUCUGUUGUAAAUCAAUUUCGGCUCCAGGCUAGUCUUCCUUCUAGGCAGCGUCUGCUUUGAUUCAGGCUCCCACCACAGCUUGGCGGAGGAGCGCAGGCAGCCUUGAGUUCUUUGAGGGAUUUAUAACCCCCCCACACCCCCCACCCCCCCGUCUGAGCUUACCCGACUCCAACACUGACUUUAUCUGCCGCCCUCCAUGGGACCACUGGCGAUGUGAAGUUCUAAACUUUGGCAUGAUUCAGUGGGAAUACUGUCAAAGCUCUGGCGUACCUUCCAAAGCAGACACACCUGCAGGGCCCAUGUCCUUCAAAGGCCGCGAUCAAAAAGAGUUCAUUAUGAAAUUAUAUCUGGCGCAUUUGACUUUUCCUGUUGGAAGACAACCUUGGAAAUUCAAAGUAGGUUAAUAAAAGUUUGAACAAACAGGGUUUAAG
Molecule: long non-coding RNA, 2113 nt
Organism: Colossoma macropomum (tambaqui)
Lineage: Eukaryota; Metazoa; Chordata; Actinopteri; Characiformes; Serrasalmidae
Exons: 6
Source: RefSeq, a predicted model, not a curated record